AUAUACCUAUUUCAAUGAUCCUCUUUCUUCUAGAUGUGUCUUUUCUCUGUGUAAACAUGUCAGCAUACUGGAUUUUUUUCUCAAUCUGAAUGUCUCUCUGGCCAUAUUGAAGAAUGUGCUUACUGUACUGUUUCAUUAAACUGCUGUGUUAUCAGAAAAUGAUGUGUGUAGAACUGACUGCGUUUUUGGACAUGCAGAGGGUGGAAUCAUUGCACAUCCCAUAUAUAAAAAUUUCACAGCACAAAUUCUAAUGAUACCUAUUGUUAUUAAAUGAAUUUUAAGAAGAUUAUAAAAACUCAUUUUUCAUUACCGCAGAAGUUAUAAAUGCCUUAUCUGAAAAAUAAUCAAUGUCAGGUAUAGCUUAUCAAGCUUGGGAGUUCCUCUCUAAACUCCUUACUCUUCGC
RNAcentral lists this long non-coding RNA (404 nucleotides) under Fukomys damarensis (Damara mole-rat). Its description in RNAcentral is "lncRNA (ENSFDAG00000023200.1)". Lineage: Eukaryota; Metazoa; Chordata; Mammalia; Rodentia; Bathyergidae. The record is from RNAcentral.